This 496-nucleotide ribosomal RNA is filed under the name uncultured bacterium. Its description in RNAcentral is "partial 16S ribosomal RNA". It matches the Rfam family "Bacterial small subunit ribosomal RNA", at positions 29 to 507 of the family's 1533-position model. The record is from RNAcentral.
AUGAACGCUGGCGGCGUGCCUCAUACAUGCAAGUCGAGCGAACAGACGAGGAGCUUGCUCCUCUGACGUUAGCGGCGGACGGGUGAGUAACACGUGGAUAACCUACCUAUAAGACUGGGAUAACUUCGGGAAACUGGAGCUAAUACCGGAUAAUAUAUUGAACCGCAUGGUUCAAUAGUGAAAGACGGUUUUGCUGUCACUUAUAGAUGGAUCCGCGCCGCAUUAGCUAGUUGGUAAGGUAACGGCUUACCAAGGCAACGAUGCGUAGCCGACCUGAGAGGGUGAUCGGCCACACUGGAACUGAGACACGGUCCAGACUCCUACGGGAGGCAGCAGUAGGGAAUCUUCCGCAAUGGGCGAAAGCCUGACGGAGCAACGCCGCGUGAGUGAUGAAGGUCUUCGGAUCGUAAAACUCUGUUAUUAGGGAAGAACAAAUGUGUAAGUAACUAUGCACGUCUUGACGGUACCUAAUCAGAAAACCACGGCUAACUACGUG